GCUCUGGUAGCCCAAUCGGUAGAGGCGGCGGUCUCAGAAGCCGCGCGAUGCUGGUUCGAAUCCAGCCCAGAGCACCA
This 77-nucleotide transfer RNA is filed under the name Pseudomonadota bacterium. Its description in RNAcentral is "Proteobacteria bacterium (sediment metagenome) tRNA-Leu". It matches the Rfam family "tRNA". From Rfam's summary of the family: Transfer RNA (tRNA) molecules are approximately 80 nucleotides in length. The record is from RNAcentral. Lineage: Bacteria; Pseudomonadati; Pseudomonadota.